Molecule: ribosomal RNA, 384 nt
Filed under: uncultured Prevotella sp.
Lineage: Bacteria; Pseudomonadati; Bacteroidota; Bacteroidia; Bacteroidales; Prevotellaceae
Description: bacterial SSU rRNA
Rfam family: Bacterial small subunit ribosomal RNA
Source: RNAcentral
UGAGGGAAUAUUGGGUCAAUGGGGCGAGAGCCUGAACCAGCCAAGUAGCGUACAGGACGACGGCCCUAUGGGUUGUAAACUGCUUUUAUACGGGAAUAAAGUGAUGCCUGCGGGCGUUAUUGCAUGUACCGUACGAAUAAGGACCGGCUAAUUCCGUGCCAGCAGCCGCGGUAAUACGGAAGGUCCGGGCGUUAUCCGGAUUUAUUGGGUUUAAAGGGAGCGUAGGCCGGAGGGUAAGCGUGUUGUGAAAUGCAGUUGCUCAACAUCUGCACUGCAGCGCGAACUGUUCUCCUUGAGUGCGCAGGAAGUAGGCGGAAUUCGUCGUGUAGCGGUGAAAUGCUUAGAUAUGACGAAGAACUCCGAUUGGGGAAGCCAGCUUACUGU